Molecule: ribosomal RNA, 402 nt
Filed under: uncultured bacterium
Lineage: Bacteria
Description: bacterial SSU rRNA
Rfam family: Bacterial small subunit ribosomal RNA
Source: RNAcentral
UGGGGAAUAUUGGACAAUGGGGGAAACCCUGAUCCAGCAAUGCCGCGUGAGUGAAGAAGGCCUUAGGGUUGUAAAGCUCUUUCGCCCGCGAAGAUAAUGACGGUAGCGGGAGAAGAAGCCCCGGCUAACUCCGUGCCAGCAGCCGCGGUAAUACGGAGGGUGCAAGCGUUAAUCGGAAUUACUGGGCGUAAAGCGUGCGCAGGCGGUUUGUUAAGUCUGCUGUGAAAUCCCCGAGCUCAACUUGGGAAUUGCAGUGGAUACUGGCAAGCUGGAGUACGGUAGAGGAAGGUGGAAUUCCCGGUGUAGCAGUGAAAUGCGUAGAGAUCGGGAGGAACACCAGUGGCGAAGGCGGCCUUCUGGACCAGUACUGACGCUCAUGCACGAAAGCGUGGGGAGCAAACA